AAAGAUGCCUCCAUGUCGUUCACCAAGAAAUAACCCUUUGAUAACUCCUACUCAACCACAAUCUCCUCCACAAUAUGACCCUGCAGCUCUCCAAGUUGCGGUAGCUGCGGCUACUACAAAAGGCUUGGCUCAAUUCAGUGCUAGUGGUUCUAUCGGGAGUGGAACAGUUGAGCUGUAACAGCCCAAAAUCCCAAGUAUUGUUAAAUUGCAUUUUGGGGUGUUUUAAAGGGGAGACUCGGCGAGUUGGAGCUAGACUCGCCGAGUAGGGUCGCAGACUUGGUCGCGGGUUCGCGACUGGACUCGACGAGUCCAGAUAUGGACUCGGCGAGUCGACGCUGUUCAGCAGAAACCCUAGCCGUUUGGUUUUGGAUCGUAUAUAAUGCCUCUUAGGCCGUCAUUGUCCGUCUUUUGGCCGAUUGAGAAGAACCCUAAUCGUUGUGGACGUCUAGAGCAGGAGAGGAAGCUUUUGGAACCUUGAAGAAUUGGUUAGGCAAGAAGAAGAAGAGUUUUGGCCAAAGGAAUAUCAAGGGGAUCGAGUUCUGAGGUUUGGAGACACAGAGAGGGUGUUAUUCAGGUAAUAUUUCGGAUCAUUUCUGCUAUAUUGAAGUGUGCACGAAUUUAGGGUUUAUGAAACCCAUUUGGAGAUUAGACGGAUUGUAGUGUCGUUACCCAAAUGUUUAUAACCUUGUAUUAGGACCCUUAGAGGUCCAGAAGGUCCCAUGUUUGUUUAUUCGGGAAUAUAUAUGUCUCAGGAAGCAGUUCGAUCGACUGCAUGGCGUGGACUCGCCGAGUCGGAUGAUCAGACUCGGCGAGUAGCUUGAAGAUUCACUGGGACUCGCCGAGUUGUUCUUCAGACUCGGCGAGUGGAGUCGGGGUGGCCCCGCGAUUCUUCCAGGAGUGACUCGUCGAGUCAAAGAGGAUACUCGACGAGUAGAAGGGGAAUCUUAGAGGAUUGAAGGACGACCAGACUCGCCGAGUCGCCAGGGAACUCGCCGAGUCCAGUCGAGCUGACAAUGGACUGUUGACCAGAGUUGACUGGUGUGAUUUCUUAGGGUCAGUUAACGUGGAAGAUAGAAGUAUUAAAAAGAGAUAUAUGAUGUUACAGGGAGCUUGUAGCUCGGAGGAUCAAGUGCAAGGGAUUUUAGGAGUUGCUAUCUUCCAGUGUCCGCGAGGUGAGUCUUCUCACUAUACUUUACCCGGAAGGGUUUGACUGUGUGACCGGAAGGUCGGAUAUGAUAUGUGAUAUGUAUGCUAUAUGUGGUAUGUUAUAUGUUAUAUGUGCUAUGUAUGUUAUGGGCCGGAAGGCGAUUAUGUUAUGGGCCGGAAGGCGAUAUGAUGUGUGAUGGACCGGAAGGUCGGCGUGGGUAAGGCCGGAAGGUUUACCCAGCAGGGACGGAAGUCCCCUGAGACACAUGGACCGGAAGGUCGGGCCUGGAAAGGCGUAUGUGCGUAAGUUGUAUAUUGGGGAACUCACUAAGCUUCGUGCUUACGGUGUUUAUGUUAUGUUGUUUCAGGUUCUUACAGUAACGCGGGAUGGCAACGGUUCGAUUGUACACACCGAAGAAAGAGUUGUGUUUUGGAGGAUCCUGGUCUUCUAUUAUAAUGAAAAUGAAACUAUGUUUUGUAAUUCGAAUGUGAAUAAGAUUUUAAACAAGUGUUUUUAAUAUUAAAUUGAUUAUUUAAAUGAAAAUUUUGUUUUUGGAAAUCAUGGUGUUACAAAUUGGUAUCAGAGCCUUGGUUUGAGGGAUUCGGACGCGCCUACGGGUAAAUCUGGACUCAAACUGAGGAAGUAAGAAAAAGUUUUCCAAAUAAAUGGUUUUCUAAAAGUGAAUAAGAGUUCAAAGAGAAAGCAAGAAAGAGCAGUGUGUACAAUCAGCCAGAGCCAAACGGUGAUUUCCCAAAAUACCCUUACUUUUGUAUUAUGAAAUAUCUAUUAUGCACUUUAUGAGACAUUAUUGCAUGCUAGAGACAGGCUAGGUAUUUCACAUCUUAGGACUAGAGUGGCCUGAUUUGUGAUGCCUUAGUCUAGGGUUUGCUGUUAUAUGUGCGUUAUGCUUUUGUGUGUAUGUGAUGAGUGAGAGUAUCUAGUUAGAACGCACAAGGGGUAAAGCUACGGGGUACAGAGGUACUUCCGAGGAUGAGCCGAGAAGGUGGAGCUAUCACAGCUAAGGAGUCCUAUGUAUGCUUCGAUGCUCGAAUGCUGCUUGCUUCGUGCUUUGUGGAGUUCUCGAUGAUGGGAGACAGCUACUAAGUGAGUAUGACGAUACUCAGGAGGUAGAUGUUUGGCAUCAUCAGGAGCUCUUCAGCAGCUGAUAGCAAAGAAGUGGGAGGACGGCGGAAUGGGCUAGAGAUUAAACCUAGCCAAGGUGGGUGCGCGAGUAGAGUAGAGGAUUUCGCUGGAAAGCGAAUAUGCAAGAUGGGAUUGGUGAAAAAAGAGCAGGUCGAUCAGCUACUUAGGAACUCUGGGAUGGUCCGUGUGGAAAGUAUGGGUAGAUGUGGCAGGUAGUAUGGGCCCGUACUACUGAAAGCAGAGGACCCAUACUUGAUACAGGGGGCAUUCUAAAGGUCCUAAGGAACAGAUUGAGGGGUGAUGUUAUGGUUCGGAUACCAUACAUCGGAGCGGAUACAGAGUGAUGUUAUGGUCCGGGCACCAUACAUCGGAACAGAUUGAGAUAGAUGUUGUGGUUCGAGUGCUAUACAUUGGAGCAGAUUGAGGAGUGGUGCUAUGGUUCAGGUACCAUACACCGAAGCAUGUUGAGGAGGGAUGUCAUGGGAUGAGUACCAUGGUUCGUAGUGGAUGAUGCUUGUGGCUAUCUUGUUAUCCGGUUAUCGAUCGGACGAGCACGAGCGAGCGGGAUGCGAGGAUUCGCGAGAUCCGGCGUGAUGAGGUUGCUGCAUUGUUGCGGGUUGAGUCGCCAGAAUUGUUUGGGUCGAUCAGGACCACUAUGAUUGAAGUAGUUUGAUGAGCGAUAUGCGGCUUUCGCAGAGACGGCUGCCGCGGCGGUUACAGCGGCUGUAGCAACGGCAAAGAAAGGGACUAGUCGGGGUUUUCAGUAUCGGGACUUCUAUUAUGCGAAGCCUCCCACAUUCGAUGGAGUUCAGGACUCGAUUGUUGCUAUGAGAUGGUUAUCAGACAUGGAGGGGUGUUUCUCCACGAGUUUAUGCCCUGCUGAUCAGAGGGUGGGGUGUGCUCUGAACCUGUUGAGGCUCGGGGCGAAGGAUUGGUGGAGAUUGACCACGAGGUCAUUUUCCGAUGCGCAGAGGGCUGCGGUUUCAUGGGAUCAAUUCAGAGGGAUGUUCAGUACUCGCUAUGUUCCGCGAGAUGAAAAGGAGAAAUUGGCUCGGGAAUUCCUUGAGCUGAAGCAGGAUUUGGAGUCGGUGACUGAGAUCACCAGGAUGUUUAUUGGGAGGGCGAUGUUUCGCCCUGAGUUCGCUUCGGAGCAGGCUCAGAUGCCCCGAUAUCCGAGUAUGCUCAAGGGGGUAUCAGACAGUUCGUGUCUGCGCGGAGGUGCGAGACCCUGUUGGAGUUGCAGAAGGCCGCCAUGUGGCGUGAGUUAGAGGUUAAGUUGCAGUUGCGUGAGCUGGGACAGGCCCCGAUGCAGUCGCAGUCGGCGCCGAAACGGUUCAGGACCGUAGACGUUGAAAUGGGGGAUCGGAGCGGUCACACUUGUGGGAAGUGUGAGAGAGAUGGCACCGGAGCUUGUUGGCCCAAUGGUGCAUGCCGCGAGUGCGGAAAGGAGGGGCAUGGUGCACGGGAUUGUCGGCAGUCAGUGCCAAUUCGGGAUUCCAGGAUUUGUUAUCAGUGUCGGCAGGUUGGACAUUUGAGGGUCAACUGUCCACAGCUUUUGCAGGAUCGGUGCAGGCUCUAGCACCGGCCACCUUGAGGAGUUCAGGAGGAGGACAGGAUGGAGUAGAGCCCAAGGGCUCAGGGUUGUGCUUAUCGGCUUGCGGCAGAGGGAGACGGAGCAGUGCCGGAGGCAGCUGCGGGUAUGAUGCUCUCUUGAUGUCUUGAGUAGCUUGCGUUGAUUGUGGCGUAUUGUUUGUGCUGGUGUCUGGUGUGGAUUUCGAUGCGGUAUUCGUUGUUUCGCGGGUUUGGCAUGGUUAUGGAUUGGUGCUUCAGGUUUUCGCUUGGCAUUCGUUGUUCCCUGAUGGUUUGGUAUGAUGAUAGUUUGGUGUUUUGGUACCGGUAGCCUUGUGCGGUUUUCGAUGCGAUAUUCAACCUUUGGCAGGUUGUGGGUUUGGUUAUGGGUUAUUGCUUGGGAAUUCCGUUGGUCAUCGUUCGUGAGGGUUGAUAGUGGAGAUGCGGCACUGGGUUGAAUGACGGGUAGCAUCUGCAGUUGUGGAGUGGAUAAUUGAAAGAUCGGAUUCUUUUGAGCGGAUUGAUCAGGGAGGAGAUGUGUUUUGCUGAGGGUUGCUUACGCUUGUGGGAAGCAGUCAGUGGGUAAAUGUUCUCUUUGUGCAGGAUGGUUCUGAAAGGUCGUUAAUGACGAUCGGUGGCAGUUAGUCAGUGCUUUAGUGGGGGAGAAUUGUAAAAUUCUCCGGGAGAUCGAUGAGUAUGUAAGGGUGCUUAGCUGUUGGGAUUCAGCAGUGUUUGUCAGCGCAAAGUAUAGGCCGACGAGAGCGAGUGUUGAGUAUGCGGGGCGAGAUACAGACCUAGGGCAUUUGAUUGUGGAGGCCUGAGAGGAGGUCGGGAUCAAGCUUGAGUAAGUAAUCGGAAUUUUGCGAUCAGAGUAUUGGUACGUUUGAGGUACGUGAUGGGUUGUACUGCAUUAAUCCCACGGGAUUAUGUUGUGCAUGUUUCUAGAGCUGGAACCGGAAGGUUCCCAGAGUUAGAACCUGAGGGUUCGCAGAGUUGGGUGUACGGACCCAUAGAGAUAUAGCCUCGGGUGGCUAGUAUGUGUUAUGAGAGUCGGUCCAGUCAUACUGGAGACUCUGUUGGUAUUGCUGGAUUAGUUUGAGAUUUGCGGAUCGCGUAUGUUGCAGUGUGAUUGCAUUGGAAGGUCUGGCCCCGGGUUAUUGAUCUUGUUUAGCGGAGGCAGUGAUUUUGAUGAGUGGAGAGAGUGCAUGGGAUUGAGAGCCCCUGCAAUGAGAACCAGAGUAUGUGAAUAGCAGUUACGCAAAAAGGGUGGUGUCGCUUGGGGCGAGCACCGUGGCACCGGUUGGAGUGGCAUUAUGUUCAAGAGAGUUCCGUGGAAAAGGAAAAGAGGAGGGUAUGUAACUCCGAAGGGGGUGCAAGUUCACGAAAGUGAAAGCUGCAGAGCAGAGUUAUGGUUAGAGUAUUUCGAGUAUGGUUUUGAGCAUCGUGUUCGCGGCAGUGGAGUAGGAACCCAUCCGGUUGGGAUGUCUGUUGAGGCUCAGAAGGGAUGCAUGGAGAGAGAAAAUUUUAAAUUCUCAGUGUGAAUCUGAUCAGAGUGUAGGGUGGAUGUAGUGGUUCAUCUUGGGAGAUGUUCGAGGAUAUCAUCAGUGUAUCGGGUCUUUCCACCUGCGGGUGUUGGGACUAGUUCAGUAUGUGUAUGUGAUGGCAAGAGGGAACUUGUGAGAGUUGAUCUGAGAGGGAGAACGGAUCUCUCAGUCGGUCCGGAAUGGGCAAAGUGGGCUUUGGAUCGGGGAUCCGGUGGUUCAGGGUUUCCUAACCCUUAUGGGUUGAGUGAUCGUUGAGAUUUGGAGCAGAGUGCAUCGUGGGUAAUUUCCGAUUACAGAGAGUGAUGAGCAGUUCAGAGUUCGUACUUUAGUUGACAAAGCAGACUCAGCAGGUUAAAGAGAGUUAGUGAUCGUCUAGAGUUAACAGGAAAGUUAUGCAGGCAGACGCCGUUACGAGCAUGUGAUUCAGGUCAGCGACUUCGUAUUUCUGACGGGGUGUUUCGAUUUAGGAAGAGGGGUAAAUGGGGGGCCCCGGUAUGUUGGGUCUUUUCGUGAAGGUGCGAAGGUAGGAAGGGUGGCCUAUCGUUUGGAGCUGUCAACGGAAUUGGGACGGAUCCAUGACACUGGUAUGUGUCGCAAUUGAAGAGGUGUAUAGCGGAUGAGUCAGCAGUGGUUCUACUAGAGAACGAUUAGGUGGAUGCGAGCCUGUGUUACGUCAAGAGGCCAGUGGCCGUCGGAGAUUGGAAGAUCAAGGUUCUGAGGAACAAGGAGGUACCUCUGGUAUUGGUUCAGUAGCGACCUCGGAAGAUAUCGGAAGUGUUUAGGGAAGCCGAAACGUGUGAUGCGGGAGCAGCAUCCAGAACUAUUUUCAGAGUGAGACUUCGAGGGCGAAGUCUAAUUCUAGUGGGGGAGAAUUGUAACAGCCCAAAAUCUCAAGUAUUGUUAAGUUGCAUUUUGGGGGUGUUUUAAAGGGGAGACUCGACGAGUUGGAGCCAGACUCGCCGAGUAGGGUCGCAGGUUUGGUCGCGGGUUCACGACUGGACUCGACGAGUCCAGAUAUGGACUCGGCGAGUCGACGCUGUUCAGUGGAAAACCCUAGCCGUUCAGUUUGGGAAGUAUAUAAGGGAUCUUAUGCCUCCAUUGUUCGCCUUUUGGCCGACUGAGAAGGACCCUAAAUCGGUUGUGGGCAUCCAGAACAAGGAUUGAAGAUCAUUGGUGAUUUGAGGAAGUUAUUGUCCAAGAAGGAGAAGGUUUUGGCUAAUGGGACAGCAAGGGAAUCACGUUUUGAGGCUUGGGGACACUGAGAGUGCAUGAUUCAGGUAACCUUUCGGAUUAUUUUCUGUUAUGUGAAUGUGUGCAUGGAUUUAGGGUUUGUGAAACCCAUUUGGAGAUUAGAUGGAUUGUUGUGUUGUUAUCCAACGUUUAUAACCCUGUAUUAGUACCCCUUAGAGGUCCAGAAGGUCCUAUGUUUGUAUAUUCGGGAAAAUAUGUAUCUCAGGAAGCAGUUUGAUCGACUGCAUGGCGUGGACUCGCCGAGUCGGAUGAUCAGACUCGGCGAGUAGCUUGAAGAUUCACUGGGACUCGCCGAGUUGUUCUUCAGACUCGGCGAGUGGAGUCGGGGUGGCCCCGCGAUUCUUCCAGGAGUGACUCGUCGAGUCAAAGAGGAUACUCGACGAGUAGAAGGGGAAUCUUAGAGGAUUGAAGGACGACCAGACUCGCCGAGUCGCCAGGGAACUCGCCGAGUCCAGUCGAGCUGACAAUGGACUGUUGACCAGAGUUGACUGGUGUGAUUUCUUAGGGUCAGUUAACGUGGAAGAUAGAAGUAUUAAUAAGGGAUAUAUGAUGUUACAGGGAGCUUGUAGCUCGGAGGAUCAAGUGCAAGGGAUUUUAGGAGUUGCUAUCUUCCAGUGUCCGCGAGGUGAGUCUUCUCACUAUACCUCACCCGGAAGGGUUUGAUUGUGUGACCGGAAGGUCAAGUAUGUUAUGUGUUAUGUUUAUAUGCUAUAAAUGGAAAGUUAGCUGCUACGCGUGAUAUACAUGCUUAUAUAUGGGCCGGAAGGCAAGGUAUUAUGUGACAGAAAGGUCAGGUAUGAUAUAUGAUAUAUGUGCUUUAUGUGUUAGAGUAAUUGUAUUAUGUGUUAUACAUGUGUAUGGGCCGGAAGGCGAUAUAGAUUAUGUGGAUCGAAAGAUCCGGGCCGGAAGGCAAUGUUAUGUGGAUCGAAAGAUCCGGGCCGGAAGGCAAUGUUAUGUGGAUCGAAAGAUCCGGGCCGGAAGGCAAUGUUAUGUGGAUCGAAAGAUCCGGGCCGGAAGGCAAUGUUAUGUGGAUCGAAAGAUCCGGGCCGGAAGGCAAUGUUAUGUGGACCGAAGGGUCCGGGCCGGAAGGCGUAUGUGCGUAAGGUAUUUUGGGGAACUCACUAAGCUUCGUGCUUACGUUGUUCAUGUUAUGUUGUUUCAGGUUCUUACAGUAACGCGGGAUGGCAACGGUUCGAUUGUACACAC
RNAcentral lists this long non-coding RNA (7860 nucleotides) under Lactuca sativa (garden lettuce). Its description in RNAcentral is "long non-coding RNA (LSAT_LNC008560)". The record is from RNAcentral. Lineage: Eukaryota; Viridiplantae; Streptophyta; Magnoliopsida; Asterales; Asteraceae.